UUUUAAUUCCAAAUCCAAUUUUUUUUAAGAAAAAUCGAUAAAUACUCCAAACACUGAAUAAUCAGCCAACAAUAAGCAACUCUAUAUGUGAAUCAAGUACAACAACAGUUACUUAAAAUGUUUGGUUUUCAAUUGCAACAAGAAUAACAUUUUUCCAUAUAAUGACAAGUAUCAUGAACAUAAAAUUUUGUUGACAAUCAAAUGGAUUUGCCAACAGUGAAUGGAUGACUACAGAUGCUUCAAUAAGAGUGCAAUUCUAACCAACACAUAAGAGAUAAAGAGGUAGCUCAGCAAAAAUCUUAUCGUAACAAGCAAAAUGAAACUAAAACCUAAAGAUCGACGAUCGACAAUGGUGACUUCGACGGUUGGAGAACUCAUUUGGAUCAACACUGACAACCGAAGAUUGGAGCCUCAAUGUUUGAAAUACAUAGCAUCAACAAAUCCAAUUAAAAAAAAUUGAGAAUCUGAUCACGAGAAAAGAUAUAAAAAGGCAACUCAGGCAGAAAUCUUUCUGUAACCAGCAAAACGUGACACGAAAGAAGGAUUUCAGAUCGAGGACGAAGAUUUUGGUGGUUGGAGAGCUCGUUUGAUUAAUCGACAACCAAAGAUUCAGAUUUAGGAUUAGUGGAGAGAGAGACAGAGAGCUACAGAUCGGGGGCGACGAUUUGGGUGUUUGGAGAGCUCGUUUGGUUAAUUAACAAGCAAAAUUUCAGAUUUAGGACUAGUGGAGAGGCAAAGAGCUCAUUGAAGAUUGGAUCAUAUGGAAUUGCAAAUGGG
Molecule: long non-coding RNA, 777 nt
Filed under: Olea europaea subsp. europaea
Lineage: Eukaryota; Viridiplantae; Streptophyta; Magnoliopsida; Lamiales; Oleaceae
Source: RNAcentral